UUUUUUCCUUGAAAUUUCACAAUGCAGCAUUUAAGGCAAUUGAUACGGAGCUUAUAGUGAGUUAGGAUCGAAAUCUGUCAAUCAACAGCAAGCAGUAUUGAUUCCAGUUGAAAUUAAUUAGUUCUGUAGGCAUUGACCGUAGUUGGACACAGUGAAAUAUUUUUGAAAAAAUUUUGAAAUUUAUAUUUUGAAUUAUUGAUUUUCUUCAAAAAAAAAAUCUUUUUACGAUGAAAGGAACAUAAUACCCACCUUAAAGUAAAAAUUAGUUGGCAAAGAAAGAAACAAUUUUACACCUGCUAGUUCUACCACCUUUUUUAUUUUACCUCCAAUAAAUUAGGAAAACUUUAGGACUUAUAAAGAUAUGAUGCAAAUUAUACCCAUAUACGGCAGUAGUUGGAUGCAAAUUUUGCCGAACAUCUUUUCCUUCAAAAUCGGAUUUUCGAUCAAUUUUCAUAAAGUUCGGAGGAGAACAAGCUGGAAGGUGGUCUCACGCGAACAGCUGAAAACAGCCGGCCAGUUUGGCGGUAUUAAAGUGUCAGUUCUGUUUUUACAUUCGCAGUAAACUACCCAAUGUCUUUGCACGUUCACGAGAGCAAGUAUCUUUGGUUGUGUUGAGAACAAUACCAAUUUUGCUGGAAGGUGGUCUCACGCGAACAGCUGAAAACAGCCGGCCAGUUUGGCGGUAUUAAAGUGUCAGUUCUGUUUUUACAUUCGCAGUAAACUACCCAAUGUCUUUGCACGUUCACGAGAGCAAGUUUCUUUGGUUGUGUUGAGAACAAUACCAAUUUUGAAAUUACAUCUUGAUGACGAGAUGGCGAAUUGCAAUAUAUGAUUUGAGAUUGUUAAACAAAUGAGAUCACCUUUAAUUGUUUCGCCAUGGGAGAAGAAAUAAGCGGCAUCAUUUGAACAGAACGUUGAUGGCUCGUCGUAAAAAUUUGUCAAAAUUUAUAUUUUUGAAAUAUUGUAUUUAACAUUUAUUGUUCCUUAAUUUUGUAAUUUGUUCAUCUAAAAUUUUAUGGAAAUAAAUGACAUUUAAAACCAA
This is a long non-coding RNA of Stomoxys calcitrans (stable fly), 1042 nucleotides long. RefSeq lists it as uncharacterized. The record is from RefSeq and is a predicted model, not a curated record. Lineage: Eukaryota; Metazoa; Arthropoda; Insecta; Diptera; Muscidae. The transcript is spliced from 2 exons.